AGUGAACGCUGGCGGUAGGCCUAACACAUGCAAGUCGAACGGCAGCACAGUAAGAGCUUGCUCUUACGGGUGGCGAGUGGCGGACGGGUGAGGAAUACAUCGGAAUCUACUUUUUCGUGGGGGAUAACGUAGGGAAACUUACGCUAAUACCGCAUACGACCUACGGGUGAAAGCAGGGGAUCUUCGGACCUUGCGCGAUUGAAUGAGCCGAUGUCGGAUUAGCUAGUUGGCGGGGUAAAGGCCCACCAAGGCGACGAUCCGUAGCUGGUCUGAGGAUGAUCAGCCACACUGGAACUGAGACACGGUCCAGACUCCUACGGGAGGCAGCAGUGGGGAAUAUUGGACAAUGGGCGCAAGCCUGAUCCAGCCAUACCGCGUGGGUGAAGAAGGCCUUCGGGUUGUAAAGCCCUUUUGUUGGGAAAGAAAAGCAGCAGGUUAAUACCCCGCUGUUCUGACGGUACCCAAAGAAUAAGCAUCGGCUAACUUCGUG
This 490-nucleotide ribosomal RNA is filed under the name uncultured bacterium. RNAcentral's name for it is "partial 16S ribosomal RNA". It matches the Rfam family "Bacterial small subunit ribosomal RNA", at positions 29 to 507 of the family's 1533-position model. The record is from RNAcentral.